AGCGCGCCCCGACUUGAGUGGAGCUCUUUUUUGUGAUUGCGAUUUUGGGAAGAUUUCAACUGAUUAACAAAUGUUCGUCGCAAUCACAAAAAAAGCGGGAACGGAAGGCGGAAAUAGGC
Molecule: small RNA, 119 nt
Filed under: Epilithonimonas xixisoli
Lineage: Bacteria; Pseudomonadati; Bacteroidota; Flavobacteriia; Flavobacteriales; Weeksellaceae
Description: Chryseobacterium xixisoli Flavo-1 RNA
Source: RNAcentral